RNAcentral lists this ribosomal RNA (253 nucleotides) under uncultured bacterium. RNAcentral's name for it is "partial 16S ribosomal RNA". It matches the Rfam family "Bacterial small subunit ribosomal RNA", at positions 524 to 776 of the family's 1533-position model. The record is from RNAcentral.
UACGAAGGGGGCUAGUGUUGCUCGGAAUUACUGGGCGUAAAGGGAGCGUAGGCGGAUAGUUUAGUCAGAGGUGAAAGCCCAGGGCUCAACCUUGGAAUUGCCUUUGAUACUGGCUAUCUUGAGUAUGGGAGAGGUGUGUGGAACUCCGAGUGUAGAGGUGAAAUUCGUAGAUAUUCGGAAGAACACCAGUGGCGAAGGCGACACACUGGCCCAUUACUGACGCUGAGGCUCGAAAGCGUGGGGAGCAAACAGG